RNAcentral lists this ribosomal RNA (735 nucleotides) under uncultured bacterium. Its description in RNAcentral is "bacterial SSU rRNA". It matches the Rfam family "Bacterial small subunit ribosomal RNA", at positions 36 to 773 of the family's 1533-position model. The record is from RNAcentral.
UUAGCUGCGCUGCCUACCUGCAGUCGUACGGGUAACUGGCAACCUGGCGGCGAGUGGCGAACGGGUGAGUAAUAUAUCGGAACGUACCCUGGAGUGGGGGAUAACGUAGCGAAAGUUACGCUAAUACCGCAUACGAUCUAAGGAUGAAAGUGGGGGAUCGCAAGACCUCAUGCUCCUGGAGCGGCCGAUAUCUGAUUAGCUAGUUGGUGGGGUAAAGGCCUACCAAGGCAUCGAUCAGUAGCUGGUCUGAGAGGACGACCAGCCACACUGGAACUGAGACACGGUCCAGACUCCUACGGGAGGCAGCAGUGGGGAAUUUUGGACAAUGGGCGAAAGCCUGAUCCAGCAAUGCCGCGUGAGUGAAGAAGGCCUUCGGGUUGUAAAGCUCUUUUGUCAGGGAAGAAACGGAUUUUUCUAAUACAGAGAUCUAAUGACGGUACCUGAAGAAUAAGCACCGGCUAACUACGUGCCAGCAGCCGCGGUAAUACGUAGGGUGCAAGCGUUAAUCGGAAUUACUGGGCGUAAAGCGUGCGCAGGCGGUUUUGUAAGUUUGUCGUGAAAGCCCCGGGCUCAACCUGGGAAUGGCGAUGAAGACUGCAAGGCUUGAAUCUGGCAGAGGGGGGUAGAAUUCCACGUGUAGCACUGAAAUGCGUAUAGAUGUGGAGGAACACCGAUGGCGAAGGCAACCCCCUGGGUCAAGAUUGACGCUCAUGCCCGAAAGCGUGGGGAGCAAAC